GACGAACGCUGGCGGCGUGCUUAACACAUGCAAGUCGAACGGAAAGGCCCUGCUUUUGUGGGGUGCUCGAGUGGCGAACGGGUGAGUAACACGUGAGUAACCUGCCCUUGACUUUGGGAUAACUUCAGGAAACUGGGGCUAAUACCGGAUAGGAGCUCCUGCUGCAUGGUGGGGGUUGGAAAGUUUCGGCGGUUGGGGAUGGACUCGCGGCUUAUCAGCUUGUUGGUGGGGUAGUGGCUUACCAAGGCUUUGACGGGUAGCCGGCCUGAGAGGGUGACCGGCCACAAUGGGACUGAGAUACGGCCCAGACUCCUACAGGAGGCAGCAGUGGGGAAUAUUGCACAAUGGGCGGAAGCCUGAUGCAGCAACGCCGCGUGCGGGAUGACGGCCUUCGGGUUGUAAACCGCUUUCGCCUGUGACGAAGCGUGAGUGACGGUAAUGGGUAAAGAAGCACCGGCUAACUACGUG
Molecule: ribosomal RNA, 468 nt
Filed under: uncultured bacterium
Lineage: Bacteria
Description: partial 16S ribosomal RNA
Rfam family: Bacterial small subunit ribosomal RNA
Source: RNAcentral